AGUGAACGCUGGCGGUAGGCCUAACACAUGCAAGUCGAACGGCAGCACAGUAAGAGCUUGCUCUUACGGGUGGCGAGUGGCGGACGGGUGAGGAAUACAUCGGAAUCUACUUUUUCGUGGGGGAUAACGUAGGGAAACUUACGCCCAUACCGCAUACGACCUACGGGUGAAAGCAGGGGAUCUUCGGACCUUGCGCGGUUGAAUGAGCCGAUGUCGGAGUAGCUAGUUGGCGGGGUAAAGGCCCACCAAGGCGACGAUCCGUAGCUGGUGUGAGAGGAUGAUAAGCCACCCUGGAGCUGAGACACGGUCCAGACUCCUACGGGAGGCAGCAGUGGGGAAUGGUGGACAGUGGGCGCAAGCCUGAUCCAGCCAUACCGCGUGGGUGAAGAAGGCCUUCGGGUCGUAAAGCCGUUUUGUUGGGAAAGAAAAGCAGCAGGUUAAUACCCCGCUGUUCUGACGGUACCCAAAGAAUAAGCACCGGCUAACUUCGUG
This 492-nucleotide ribosomal RNA is filed under the name uncultured bacterium. RNAcentral's name for it is "partial 16S ribosomal RNA". It matches the Rfam family "Bacterial small subunit ribosomal RNA", at positions 29 to 507 of the family's 1533-position model. The record is from RNAcentral.